UACGUAGGGGGCUAGCGUUGUCCGGAAUCAUUGGGCGUAAAGCGCGUGUAGGCGGUCCGGUAAGUCCGCUGUGAAAGUCGAGGGCUCAACCCUCGAAUGCCGGUGGAUACUGUCGGGCUUGAGUACGGGAGAGGCGAGUGGAAUUCCUGGUGUAGCGGUGAGAUGCGCAGAUAUCAGGAGGAACACCGAUUGCGAAGGCAGCUCGCUGGAACGUUACUGACGCUGAGACGCGAAAGCGUGGGGAGCAAACAGG
This 253-nucleotide ribosomal RNA is filed under the name uncultured bacterium. Its description in RNAcentral is "partial 16S ribosomal RNA". It matches the Rfam family "Bacterial small subunit ribosomal RNA", at positions 524 to 776 of the family's 1533-position model. The record is from RNAcentral.